UUCCAAAUGUUAUCGGACUCGGGAUGGCCAACAUCUAAAAAAUGACCAGCUGCCAAUUGAGGUCUUGGGUAGCCAAUCAAGUCGCAUACAAGAUAAACCCUUUUAAAUAGCUCUAUAUAAACUUUGUAUCUCAGGAUUGCUCUACAAAACAGUUACCUUGCGAUGUAAUAAUUUAUCUUGCCAUUCCUUCUGAUGUUAGAUGCACAAUGGUUUAUGCUCAAUAAAGAUAUAUACAUGAA
Molecule: long non-coding RNA, 239 nt
Organism: Triticum dicoccoides
Lineage: Eukaryota; Viridiplantae; Streptophyta; Magnoliopsida; Poales; Poaceae
Exons: 2
Source: RefSeq, a predicted model, not a curated record